This 157-nucleotide ribosomal RNA is filed under the name Ktariella polyorchis. RNAcentral describes it as "5.8S ribosomal RNA". It matches the Rfam family "5.8S ribosomal RNA". Rfam says of the family: 5.8S ribosomal RNA (5.8S rRNA) is a component of the large subunit of the eukaryotic ribosome. It is transcribed by RNA polymerase I as part of the 45S precursor that also contains 18S and 28S rRNA. The record is from RNAcentral. Lineage: Eukaryota; Metazoa; Platyhelminthes; Monogenea; Dactylogyridea; Calceostomatidae.
CUGAAACUGCAACCGGUGGAUCACUCGGCUCGUGUGUCGAUGAAGAGUGCAGCUAACUGUGUGAAUUGACGUAAAUCGCAGACUGCUUCGAUCAUUGACUUCUUGAACGCAAAUGGCGGCUACUAGCUUGCUAGUAGCCACGCUUGUCUGAGAGUUG